RNAcentral lists this ribosomal RNA (290 nucleotides) under Gonypetyllis semuncialis. RNAcentral describes it as "partial 16S ribosomal RNA". The record is from RNAcentral. Lineage: Eukaryota; Metazoa; Arthropoda; Insecta; Mantodea; Gonypetidae.
GGUUUCUUGAAAUAUUUAAGAGAUUUAACCUGCCCACUGAUAAUUUGAAGGGCCGCGGUAUUUUGACUGUGCAAAGGUAGCAUAAUCAUUAGUCUUUUAAUUGAAGGCUUGUAUGAAUGGUUGGACGAGGUAAUUUCUGUCUUAUAUAUAAWUAAGUUUAAAUUUAAGUUUUAAGUAAAAAUGCUUAAAUGUAAUUAAGGGACGAGAAGACCCUAUAGAGUUUAAUAUAUGAUAUGUUAAUUGAGUUAUUAAGAAAUUUUUGGUUAUUAGUAAAUAUAUUUAAUUGGGGU